This is a long non-coding RNA of Camelus dromedarius (Arabian camel), 670 nucleotides long. RefSeq lists it as uncharacterized. The record is from RefSeq and is a predicted model, not a curated record. The transcript is spliced from 4 exons. NCBI's taxonomy places the organism in Eukaryota, Metazoa, Chordata, Mammalia, Artiodactyla, Camelidae.
GCCCGCGCUGGGGCCGCGGAGGCAGCGAGGCGCCCCGAGGAGCCGGCUCCGGCCCAGGUCGUCGCAGCAGCACAGGAGGCUGUAGCACAGAUGCUGCUGAGUGAAGAAGAGGGAAACGAGUGCAAAAAGAAAAAAAAAUGAAUUGGGAGAUCAACGAUCAGCUUUACCCAUAAUCUUCCCUCGGUGGAUACUGUGAUGCACCACUCAGGUCCCUGCUCCCAGGAGGCUCUCCUGCCCCCAGUUUCUGAGACACUUUCCAGGAGUUGUCCUCAGCUGAAGGAGUGGACUCACCCAGGGUCACGUGCACUUCCCGGGGACAUCUGCGUCUAAUGACUGGUCCACGUUGGCAUGCGAAGGCCUGGUCGCAUGUCUUCCUCCCAUCUCCAGAGCUCCCAAGGGAUCACCUGAGGCCUUUGUUGUGAUGCAUCACAGCCCAGUUUCUCCCUCUGCCCCAGUCCUGCUUUACUCCCUCCUGCCUUCCAGAUGGUGUUCCACUAAAAAAAAGAAAAGUUUCUGCUCUCCAAAGUGACCAGUGAAAUAUACGAUGCUAUCUUUUCCCCAGGUCAUGCUGGGAAAGGCACCGAAGGCAAAUAAUCAAUUAGUCCUUUCGUCAUCCUGUAAGUCCUCUUCCAAUGGUGCCCGUCCCUGACCAGCUGACGUUUCCAUAACC